GCGAGUUACGAUUUGAUGCAAGGUUAAGCAGUAAAUGUGGAGCCGUAGCGAAAGCGAGUCUGAAUAGGGCGUUUAGUAUUUGGUCGUAGACCCGAAACCAGGUGAUCUACCCUUGGUCAGGUUGAAGUUCAGGUAACACUGAAUGGAGGACCGAACCGACUUACGUUGAAAAGUGAGCGGAUGAACUGAGGGUAGCGGAGAAAUUCCAAUCGAACCUGGAGAUAGCUGGUUCUCUCCGAAAUAGCUUUAGGGCUAGCCUCAAGUGAUGAUUAUUGGAGGUAGAGCACUGUUUGGACGAGGGGCCCCUCUCGGGUUACCGAAUUCAGACAAACUCCGAAUGCCAAUUAAUUUAACUUGGGAGUCAGAACAUGGGUGAUAAGGUCCGUGUUCGAAAGGGAAACAGCCCAGACCACCAGCUAAGGUCCCAAAAUAUAUGUUAAGUGGAAAAGGAUGUGGCGUUGCCCAGACAACUAGGAUGUUGGCUUAGAAGCAGCCAUCAUUUAAAGAGUGCGUAAUAGCUCACUAGUCGAGUGACACUGCGCCGAAAAUGUACCGGGGCUAAACAUAUUACCGAAGCUGUGGAUUGUCCUUUGGACAAUGGUAGGAGAGCGUUCUAAGGGCGUUGAAGCAUGAUCGUAAGGACAUGUGGAGCGCUUAGAAGUGAGAAUGCCGGUGUGAGUAGCGAAAGACGGGUGAGAAUCCCGUCCACCGAUUGACUAAGGUUUCCAGAGGAAGGCUCGUCCGCUCUGGGUUAGUCGGGUCCUAAGCUGAGGCCGACAGGCGUAGGCGAUGGAUAACAGGUUGAUAUUCCUGUACCACCUAUAAUCGUUUUAAUCGAUGGGGGGACGCAGUAGGAUAGGCGAAGCGUGCGAUUGGAUUGCACGUCUAAGCAGUAAGGCUGAGUAUUAGGCAAAUCCGGUACUCGUUAAGGCUGA
This 935-nucleotide ribosomal RNA is filed under the name Staphylococcus aureus. Its description in RNAcentral is "partial 23S ribosomal RNA". It matches the Rfam family "Bacterial large subunit ribosomal RNA", at positions 623 to 1559 of the family's 2925-position model. Lineage: Bacteria; Bacillati; Bacillota; Bacilli; Caryophanales; Staphylococcaceae. The record is from RNAcentral.